RNAcentral lists this small RNA (70 nucleotides) under Arabidopsis thaliana (thale cress). Its description in RNAcentral is "ATSL082850". Lineage: Eukaryota; Viridiplantae; Streptophyta; Magnoliopsida; Brassicales; Brassicaceae. The record is from RNAcentral.
AGUUAUCGGAAAAAUGGUCAAAAUCAACAUAAAAUGUGAAGGCUCACCUCUUAUGCCACUAUUCGAAAAU